Pelobates cultripes (western spadefoot toad) is the source of this 247-nucleotide non-coding RNA. NCBI's taxonomy places the organism in Eukaryota, Metazoa, Chordata, Amphibia, Anura, Pelobatidae. The record is from the annotation of a GenBank genome assembly.
GGGGGUUGGAGCUAGGUGCCCUCGAAGGCACGGGACACAUAUUUAUAGAGGGUAUUACUUUUCCUCAUAUGGUUAACAGCUUUCUGUAUACACUGUGUGCUACUCUUACAAGAUACUUUGUAGCACCGUUCAUUGUGACUCUAUUUACACGUGUUUCUCUCUUCUACCCUCUCCCUCUUAGAUAUCUUAACGCUUGCUUUACUGUUGGUUCAGUUAUUAUAGGCUGAUGCUGAUUUAUAUAUAUACC